AGAGUUUGAUCCUGGCUCAGGAUGAACGCUAGUGGCAGGCUUAACACAUGCAAGUCGAGGGGCAGCGGGGUGUAGCAAUACACUGCCGUCGACCGGCGCACGGGUGCGUAACGCGUAUGCAACCUACCCAUAACAGGGGCGAUAACACUGAGAAAUUGGUACUAAUUCCCCAUAACAUUCGAAGAGGCAUCUCUUUGGGUUG
RNAcentral lists this ribosomal RNA (202 nucleotides) under uncultured bacterium. RNAcentral's name for it is "partial 16S ribosomal RNA". It matches the Rfam family "Bacterial small subunit ribosomal RNA", at positions 8 to 203 of the family's 1533-position model. The record is from RNAcentral.